RNAcentral lists this transfer RNA (75 nucleotides) under Escherichia phage T5. RNAcentral's name for it is "tRNA-Phe". Lineage: Duplodnaviria; Heunggongvirae; Uroviricota; Caudoviricetes; Demerecviridae. The record is from RNAcentral.
UGCACCAAAUUGAAGGAGAUGCUGAUGCAUCCUGAAAACUUCUUUAUUUACUGUGCGGAUAAAUCGCUGAAACGU